CUACCUGGGAGUGUGGCUUUGAAGGCCAUUAACACUACUAUAGUUUUUCCAAGAACACAAGAGAUGCAGAGGACAAAGGUGAUCCCAAACGCUGUGUGGCGCAGCAUGCAGGACCACUCAGAGGGUGCUCCAAUGAAAGUUAA
Dicentrarchus labrax (European seabass) is the source of this 143-nucleotide long non-coding RNA. RefSeq lists it as uncharacterized. The transcript has 2 exons. Lineage: Eukaryota; Metazoa; Chordata; Actinopteri; Moronidae. The record is from RefSeq and is a predicted model, not a curated record.